RNAcentral lists this ribosomal RNA (249 nucleotides) under uncultured bacterium. RNAcentral's name for it is "partial 16S ribosomal RNA". It matches the Rfam family "Bacterial small subunit ribosomal RNA", at positions 15 to 263 of the family's 1533-position model. The record is from RNAcentral.
GAUCAUGGCUCAGGAUGAACGCUGGCGGCGCGCCUAACACAUGCAAGUCGAACGAUUAAAGCACCUUCGGGUGUGUAUAAAGUGGCGAACGGCUGAGUAACACGUGGGCAACCUGCCCCUCUCAUUGGGAUAGCCACGGGAAACCGUGGAUAAUACCGAAUACUUCGAGUCUCCCGCAUGGAAGACUCGAGAAAGCUCCGGCGGAGAGGGAUGGGCCCGCGGCCUGUUAGCUUGUUGGUGGGGUAACGG